UCUGCAUGCGCUGCGGCGAGAGUAUAAGUGCCUUGAUCUGUGGCACAGCUCCUAACCCCAUUCCCUUUGGUUUCGGCUUGACUCAUUGUGAAUUCUGAUGCGUACUUUCUUUUGGUCAGGGCACCAUGAGGUUGCUGCUGACUACGAUUCCCAACUUCCAGGAGAUAAGGUUCAUCGCACUCUGUUCUCGUUGCGAAAGCUUAUUGUUUUGAUUUUAAAACGGUGGUAGAUAUGCGUUUGUAAAUUUGCAGGUCGUUGUGAUGGCUUUUGAAUGCCCGCAAUGUAAUGAAAGGUAAUGCAAUACUCGUCGGGGUACUUUUGCACAUGCAAGCGCAGUAUCUUAAGUUUUGUGUGCUUGUGAACUAGGAACUACGAGGUCCAGUUUGCUGGACAGUUCCGGCCUAAUAACCAAAGAUGAUGUGUGGCUAGAAAUGACAUGAUGUCUCGUUUAGCAUGGCUGUUGUUCUGAACUGUAACCUACACCAGAGCGUUGUGUGCAGAUAAUUGACGGGAAGGAGCUCCUGAUGGGAAGGACAUACACUGACAAUCAUCAUGUGAAGAAGGUAUACACUAUGCAGCAAUUCAUUCACUCAGUCAAAGCUCCUCGCACAAUCAUGUACACAUGGUUUGAUAUAUCAAUAAAGAUAUUAUCUGCCAUUUAUUGCUUUAUGUGCCGCGACCUACUCCAAGAAUGGGCAUAUAUUCAUGAUGUCGAUCCCACAUAUAUGUUCCAACGGUUAGUUCUGAACUUCUGAUUAACGAAUGAAAUAUUCAGAAUAUGUUUACCACCUGCCGGACCGCUGAUUGAUCAAAACAAAGAAAAACAAUAACAUAAGAAGGAUUAGUGGCUAGAAACCCACUGGUCUUUCCCAAGAUUCGUGGAGCGUUAAUUUGGUUAGCUAUGUAGUCCAUUUGAUUGCCAAGGAAGAAUGUGUGCUUGCUCUAAUUUGUUUGAAUGCAUACACAUUUUAGUAUACCAAGUAGGGGACCUGGCUGACGGGGACAUGACGUCAACACCCUGCUUGCUCUAACAUUUUUGGCGACGAGUUCACGAACAAUCUGUAUGCUUAUUACUCAGCUGCCACGGAAUUUAUUCCAAAUUGAAAUGACAUAUCCGGAGUAUUUUGAUACCUUGUUUAACAUAAAUCGUAUUUUGCCUGCACCACUAAGGUGAACUUAACCAAGGCUACAAUGUAAAGAAGCACAAUGUGCCAGUUACCAGUAGGUUUGUUUGAGAAUAUUGUUCAGCUGAUGUAAACAAAAAUGAAAGGUUAUAGAUAUGGCUUCUUACAUGAUGGUUGGGUGGUCUACAAGUUAGGCUCGUAAGGAUGGUGAGUAGCAAGGCAUAUCUGAACAUGGACAUGUUCUUCACCCUCGACGACGGCAACACCGUGAAUCGCAUACUUUUUAAUCAAGUUCCUGAUGUAUAUUAGGGAUACAAUAUUCGACUUUUGUAUUGUGGGUGCCAUUGCUGUAUGUUGACAUGGCUGCGAGAUUUAUCAAAUGGUCCAAGUUUAAUCUUUACUAGAAGUAAAAAAUGUAGGCUGUUACUACAGUUGAAGCGCCAAGCAAGAUUCCGUAAUGGGAAAUCUGCAAGUUCUAAACCAUCUCUGAUUUGAGUAGGUAACUAUUUGAAAGAUAAUAGGGGGAGAAUCCAGUAGUUGUUUUAGUCUGUAACGCUAGCUAAUCAUUAUACUUUAAUAUACUUUUUUGGUUCCUAUCACAGGUCAAGCAAUUGAAUGAUUGGAAAUAUGUAACUACAUUACCAUCUCGGACUAAUCAACCAUUUGAAAGACAUUAUGUGCUCGGGGAGGUAUAUUACUCUGAAACACUUGAGUUCUUAGCUCUGGCUAAGCUUAAUACUAUGUUACUUUACUACUGGCAUUGGGCUACUAAUGUGAAGUAAUUGAAUGCAUGUAAUACUUGUCUACAUUGGGUAAUACUUGUCUUCUAUUGUAUAUAUUCUUUAUUUAUCACCCUUUUCCCUGUAAUGUUGUAAUGCUUUAGUAAUCUUAUUUGUACUGGAAACUGAAGGCUGUACAGCUGCUUUAAGUGAAAAAAUCUACUUACAUUUCAAUAUUUCUGGAAGACCGAAAUGUAGUGUGAAUUCAGCACACAGCGGGUGCAGGAGUGACUGUGUGGUCAUGUUUUUGCAUUGUAACCUGAAACUCAUGCCCAAACUAAUAUUUGCCGGUCGUUUAAUGACAAGCCUGUGAGUCCCAAUGCGGGUUUUUUGAACUCUCAGGAGUAUUGAGGUAUACCAAUAUUUGUGUUCGCAACAAGGAACGGGAAAACCCUUGUCAGCGGUUGAUUGCCAAAUCCCCCGAGUUAUGCCGUCGAGUAAGCAGAUAGAAAAUUAACCAGGACCAUUUGACCUAAAGUUAGGGAGAUUGUGCCUUGAGCGCAUACAACCAACAAAUAACUUGAGUACGUAUAGCCAAAGCAAUAAGAUAGUUUGGACACAGUCUGAAGAUUGUGCUUGACAAGCAAAACAUGUGUACAUCAUAGGGCCUGCUCUUUAAGCUGGGUCAACUAAUAUGUGCCUUAUUUCUUACUGGCCCUGCUAGAUGCAUCCCCGACGGUCCAUUUCGCCUAUUUCACAUGAACAUAAGCCAUUAAGGACGACCUUGUCUUUGCUCGCGUCGCCGUGCAGCGAACGGCACGUGGUUGAACACACUAUAAUUUAUGUUGCAGUUGUAGCAGCUGCUACUAGAGCCAUGAAUUCAAGAGAGGUUGGUGAGGAUGUUUGGGUUCUCAUUGUCCUUGUCCACACUGCCGAUGUGGGGGUGGCACAAUAGAUUGGUUACUUUCCCAUGUUAUUUCCCUUUCCUGGAUGUUUACUUUUCGUUACCACCUGGCUCAUCUACCUUUCCUGAUCAAAAGGCUCUUAUCUCACUCAAUUUGUUUGUUGUAAUAACAAAUCUACCAUCUUCAUUUAUACUUUUGUUGUUUCUUAGUUUGAGUUGUGUUGUUUAACUAUGGAUUAUUUUGGGUGCAGCAAAAACUUUUGGGCAGACACCUUGGUGGUUUUUUCGUACUAUUAAGGAGGCACCAUUGCAACCUGAACAAGGUUUGUGAGCACCUAGCUUAAUCCUUCUGUAUGGAUCCUACAAGCAGAAGUCAUCCACAUCACGUUUUAAUAUUCUGGAGUAUUAUUUCAUCCCUAGCUCCACUUGCUGCUCAAAACCUGUGCAUACCAUAGUUUGACAACCAGCAGACCCCUAGAAUCUGUUGCAUGGAGUGAGCUACCUUUUUUUUGCGGGAUCAUGGAG
RNAcentral lists this long non-coding RNA (3272 nucleotides) under Triticum aestivum (bread wheat). RNAcentral describes it as "long non-coding RNA (TAES_LNC000016)". Lineage: Eukaryota; Viridiplantae; Streptophyta; Magnoliopsida; Poales; Poaceae. The record is from RNAcentral.